AUUGAACGCUGGCGGCAUGCCUAACACAUGCAAGUCGAACGGCAGCAUGGAUUGUAGCAAUACAAUUUGAUGGCGAGUGGCGGACGGGUGAGUAACGCGUAGGAAUCUGCCUUGAAGAGGGGGACAACCCGAGGAAACUCGGGCUAAUACCGCAUGAUAUCGAGAGAUUAAAGCUGGGGCGACCUGACACUUCAAGAGGAGCCUGCGUCCGAUUAGCUAGUUGGUUAGGUAAAAGCUGACCAAGGCGAUGAUCGGUAACUGGUCUGAGAGGACGACCAGUCACACUGGGACUGAGACACGGCCCAGACUCCUACGGGAGGCAGCAGUGGGGAAUAUUGGACAAUGGGGGCAACCCUGAUCCAGCAAUGCCGCGUGUGUGAAGAAGGCCUUCGGGUUGUAAAGCACUUUAGGUUGGGAAGAAGGUGGUUAUUUUAAGAGAUAGAUCACUUGACGGUACCGACAGAAUAAGCACCGGCUAACUCUGUGCCAGCAGCCGCCGUAA
Molecule: ribosomal RNA, 502 nt
Filed under: uncultured bacterium
Lineage: Bacteria
Description: partial 16S ribosomal RNA
Rfam family: Bacterial small subunit ribosomal RNA
Source: RNAcentral